Vespa crabro (European hornet) is the source of this 4970-nucleotide long non-coding RNA. RefSeq lists it as uncharacterized. NCBI's taxonomy places the organism in Eukaryota, Metazoa, Arthropoda, Insecta, Hymenoptera, Vespidae. The record is from RefSeq and is a predicted model, not a curated record. The transcript is spliced from 8 exons.
AAAGGGGAGGGAAAGGAACGUGAUGGCGAUGGACGAAGAAGAAGAAGAAGUCGAAGAAGAAGGUCCGUUUGAUUUCGAAUGUAUGUAAUGCAUGAAGUCAAAGAAAAAAAAAAAAAAAGAAAAACAAGAAAAAAAAAAAGAAAGAAAGAAAUAGAGAGAAGAUCGUCAGGAAGGAUUAUUUUCUUCAUGAUUUCUGAUCCGUUGCCAAACGGCGUUAAUGGAACAAGACCGGCAGCCGUCCGGUUUCAGUGCCGCUAUUGCGCGCGCGCUUGGAAUAACCCUUCAAAAUACUUUGGCGUAAAUUUAUCAGUGACGUCCGCCAAGUUGAAAAAUAUACCUACCUUCUCGUCUCUGCCAUUUCUCGCUACUGCUUUUGCUACCAAGAUCAACGUUAUAAUACUGGAUUCGUCCAAAUUCAAUGGGAGAAAAAAAAAAAUAAUAAUAAUAAUAAUAAUAAUAAUAAUGACAAGAAAAAGGGGGUAGAAAAAAAAGAAAAAGAAGUAGAAGAUAUUUUUGUUACACCAAUCACAUUUUAAAUCUUCAAACAACAGGAUAAAUCACUUAAGUUAUUUAUUAACUUAUUAAUUUUAAUGGGAAUAUAAAUGGAAAGAAAGAAGAUUAAUAUACGAAUAUACACUUAUAUAAUUAUGUAACACAUAUUAAACAUAAUAAUACGGAUAAAUGUUGUAAGCGAUAGAACGAAAUGAACAUUAUAAUAAUUGAGAUUAUAUAAAUGCAUAUAUAUAUAUAUAUAUAUUUUUCUGUGCUUGUAUGUACAGGUGGAAACAGAUUGAUUACGCAACGGUUAAUUCAUAGCUCAAACAGAUUUAUUAAACACACGAACGCACAUUUUCAAAUGAUAACUCACGUUCAGAAUGACUGGGGCAGCUUAACAAAACUCAAAUAAUAUCGUAGUUAUCACAUUAUAUGCGAAGAACAAGAGGUAUUACAUUAUUCAUUAAUUACAUGAUGAAAAAGAUAUAUAAUCAAUAAUACGAUACAAUAUUAAAACAAAACAAUUUUUUAAUAUAAUCAAUAUGAAUACAGCUCUUUGAGAUAAAAAAGAAGAGAGAGAGAGAGGAAGAAAGAAAAGAGAGAGAGAGAGAGAGAGAGAAAAUAAUAUAUUAUUAUGAAGGUAUAAUUAAGAUCAUUAAUCGUUGCGAUCUCAAGUCGUCGCGAUGUUGCACCAGAACAACCCAUGAACCCUUAACAGAGAAAAGAGAAAAAUAAAAGGAAAAGAAAAAAAAAAGAAGGGAAAAAAGAAAAGAAAUAAAUAGGAAGAAGAGAUAAAAGGGUGAGAGUGAGAAAGGGGGAGGAUAAUGGCGACGAGGUCGAAGAGGGUGAAUAUUCUUUUCAGGCAGCUUAACAUCCAGCACACCACUUCGCAUAUUUAAAAUGCAAAUCCGUACGCCAAUAAAUCUCUCGUACAUGGUUCGAGCGGUUUGUGCGAGGGAGAGAAUCCCUCUUCUUCUUCUUCUUCUUCUUCGUCUUCUUCUUAUACUUAUUCUUAUUCUUAUUCUUCUUUGGAUCCUCUUUCGGAUCCUUUAUUUCUCGAGAGCGUCCUCCUCAUCUCCAAGAGACGUCAGGAUUCCUUCUCUCGCCGUGACCAUUAUUAACCCGCAGUUAAUUGAAUCGCCACGGCCUCAUGCUCGAGAAAUUUUUAAACGAGACUCCUCCGUAAUUCUUCAAAAAGAAAGAAAAAAAGAGAAAGAGAGAGAGAGAGAGAGAGAGAGAGAGAGGCGGGAGAUGACGAAACAAUCGGAUGACAAAAUUGAAAACAAAAAAGUAAAUUUAUUUAGAUAAAGAGAGAGAGAGAGAGAAUGAGAUAGACUGGAGUCUCUCAAAAAGUGACUCCUUUCGUUAUAGUGUUCACAUCUCUUCAGAAAAUUAUAUUUAAUCCUGUAUUUAUGUACUCACAUAAUUUAGCUUUUUCAAGAAGCAAAACUCGAGAUUGUGAACGUUUUAUUAUUCGCAUAUAUCUGUCGACAUAUGUAUUAUAUAUUUAUAUAGAAAAGAAAAAGAAAAAAGAAAAACGCAUCUCAACGAACGCGUUUCCGAUUCUCCCGUCGUUGGAAUGUUAAAUCGAAGACGUAGUUACGCAACACAUCCGAAUUCUUUUCGAGCAAGGUCACAGAUCUAGAAUGUGGAGGAAGAGUGAGGGCCUUUUUGGCUUCUACGUGGAAUAUCUUUGAAACGAAAGGAAAAAAAAAAAAGAAAGAAAGAAAGAAAGAGAAAAAAAAUACGAGAGAAUGUAAACGUGAAUGGUUCGGAAAGAAAAGACCAAAAAGAAAAAAAAGAUAAAAAAAAAUUGAUCCAAUCGAUGAGGAAUCGAAUGAAUUCCAUCGAUCCCCAUUUAAAAGUAAUACCAAACAAACGUAGUCUCUCUCUCUCUCUCUCUCUCUCUCUCUCUCUCUCUCUCUCUCUCUCUCUCUCUCUCUCUCUCUCUCUCUAUCUCAUCUGUUAAGAAAAAGAGAUGAAUGAGAAGGGAGAGAGAAAAAAUUAAAAGGAAGAAAAGAAAAGAAAAGGAUAGGUCUUACUGAAUAGCCAAAGGAUGAUAAACAUUAAUAGAACGUAUAGAUAACUUUAAGGAGAAACAUCAACGAUCAAAAGAGAUGAACAAAAAUAAAAAUCAAGAAGCAGCGAGAGAGAAAGAGAAAGAGAGAGAGAGAGAGAGAGAGAAAAAGAGAGAGAGAUAACAAGGUGAGGAAUAAGGAGGAGAUAAUAAAAGGAUAAAAGUAGUGGGAUAAGAAGACAGGGAAGAGAUGUAUCUCGCAGAGAAGUAUACUACAAGGCGUGUCUUGGUUGGGUAGUAUAUGUUGGCUACUCAACUCAAAGUAAAGGCGAUUACGUCAAAUCAAGACUCCAUACGAGAGGAUUUUUAACCCUAACGCCCUUUUCUCUUCUUCUUCUUCUUCUUCAUCUUCUUCUUCUUCUUCUUCUUCUUCUUCUUCUUCUACUUUCCGAAGUAUACAGAUGAUACAACUUUUACAUACAUACAUUGUAACUACUGUUGAGAUCCCAUUGAAAUUUACAUACAUAGGAUGCAAGAAGAAACGAUCUUGAGACCUGGCUAAAGGUCUCUGGCUACUAUAUAUUGAGAUACUUUAACCUGUCCGUAUCCUUAAUACGAGAUGUAUAUGGCCAUCGUUCGUCGACCAAAGCGAAGGAUUAUAAAAAGUAAGAAAGACGACGAAGACGCGAUAACAAAUCAUCAUUUCCAUCCGUUGUAACGUAGAUAUCGUACGUGAUAGCGAUGAAAAAUGACGACGACCGAUGAGAUAAUUAAUGAAUUAAUUGAGAUAAAAAUGAGUAAUCAGAUUUUGAUUAAUGUUACGAUAACAUUAAUGGGACGAGAAGUAUCUGUAAUCUUAAGAACGAUCGUCUCUCUUAAACAGGAGUGAAAUAACAAAAUAUAUAUCUCUGAUGAUUAACUAUUUAUUUCAGCGAGACACUUAAAUUACAUCUAUUUUCUUCGAGAAUAAUAAUAAUAAUGAUGAUGAUGAUGAUGAUGAUGAUAAUGAUAACAACAGUGAUAAUAAAAAUAAUAAUAAUGAUAAUAAUAAUAAGGAUAAGGAAAUCGCCUUUGGUAUUACCUACAAAUAAACAAAUAAACAAGUUAACAAACAAACAAACAAACUAGAAUUCGCGCGUUAUUGUACGUUGUUAAAGAAAUUACAUAUUGGAGUAUCUGAUUUCUUAAAAUCUUGAGCUACAUAAAAGUGGUAAGCAAGAGUAAACAAAAAAGGAUAUAUAAAAGAAGGAUGUAAUAAAGUUACUGAAUAAAGGAUAUUAUCGUACAUAUAUCGAUUGAAAUACAAGGAAGGAUCGAAGAUAUAACCCCUUUCUCUGAUGUUAGAGAGAAGAAGCCCGAAGAAUGGGGAAAAAAGAAGAAUUCUUAAAACGGUGAAUCUACUGGUCUAUCUACUUCCCAUUACUUGAGUCGUCCUGACCGCGUCACCUCCUUCUAGAGAACCACAAAGUCAUCCCAGCCCAGUUGUAUUCCAAGUUUCAUCUUGACACUUCUCCCUCUUUAUACCAUGGAGGAUUUAUCUUCACGCCAUUAUUGAUAACGAUUAUAACGUGCCUCUUUAUAGAACGAUAGGAAUUAUUUGCAAAGACAACAAAGGUGGCAUAUAUGUACAUACAUACAUAUGUCAAUAUUUUAAAUAUAUUAUAUACAGGAUAUUUCUUGUUAUAUAUAUAUAUAUAUAUAUAUGUGUGUGUACAUCCGAUGUGUAUGUACAUCCGAUGGAAAUGAAGAUAACUCAAAUGUCACCGUUGUAAACUGUUAUACGUCUAACGUUCAUGAAGAUCCGUUACACUUGACUCCACUUUUCAUUGGCUUCCUAUCCUUAUUCUUCUUCUACAUACAUAGAACGAAUUUAACUCGGACGACAGGCAGGUGACGAGUCAAAUUACGGAAGUCAUUGAAGCACUGUGGUUAUGAACGUACAAGUUAUACGUCUCUUGAAAGAGAAAGAGGCAAAGAGAGAGAGAGAGAGAGAGAGAGAGAGAGAGAGAGAGAGAAAGAGAGAAAGGGAAGAAAUGGAAGACGUGCCACAACCACAUCCGUCGUUACAGCCGGCUUUACAUUUUCUUUGGAAUACACGAGAUUUCUUUUGAUAUUCACCCUUUUCCUUAUUCACUCAUCUUCAUGAAGAAAAACAAAAUACCGAUUUUAUCCUCGUUAUGGAUAUGUCCUACUAUAAUAAUAAUAAUAGUAAUAGUAAAAUUAAAUUUUUUGAAGAUUUGAAGAAAACAAAAUUGAUGGACUUAUGUAAGUUAUCAAUUGUUUUUAUUACAAUGUAAAAUACUCUAUAUCAAAUAUCAUUGAAUGAUCUUUACUUUUAUUAAGAAUAAUGUUGUUUCAAAUAAAUUCAAGAGAUUCAAAGGCUCGUACAAAAUUAAUUAUAAUAAUCAAUAUUUUUAUAUAAAGAAAUGAUAAUCUGAAAAGAUCUACUAUAAAUAAC